Molecule: long non-coding RNA, 1494 nt
Filed under: Mus musculus (house mouse)
Lineage: Eukaryota; Metazoa; Chordata; Mammalia; Rodentia; Muridae
Description: RIKEN cDNA 4930538L07 gene
Source: RNAcentral
AGGGUAGGUAGCCAAACAACCCAGAGAAGAGAUUGGCAUUAGAGUUAGCAGAGGAUGAAGAAAGAGACCCAGGGCUUGGGCAGUGGGGCCUUAGAGCUCAGCCUGCUUCUGAGAAGCUUUUCCAUGUAGAAACUGGGGUUUAAAUCUCAGACAUGCUGGGAUUUCACCCCAUUUACUUCCUGCUGUUCUAGUAAGUUCUUCUCAGAGGCAAUUGCUUCAGGAGAUGCCCCAAGCUCUCUUCAGAGGGCCUGGUUCCCACAGAACUCCUCUGAUGGCCAAACUGACUGCUUGAGAUUUGUUUUUCAGGUGAAUUGGGUACUGUGGGUCACUUGCUCUGAUCAAAGACCUUUUCCAUCUUUCUCUGAACAUUGAAGACCUGUUCCAACCAAGCCUAAGGAGACUAAAGUCAUGGACUCUUCCUUCCUCAAAUAAAGCCACUUCUUUCAUACACUUGCAGAGACCUGGAGUGCAGACUCCAGACCUUUGUUACAGAUGGCUCUUCUUCAUGUUUUCACUAUAACAUCUGCAGAAGAACUUAGGGACAUUUUCUAAACUCCAAAAGCAUGCAUUGGGUUUUCAAGAUUCAUGAGCUCAUAAAAUCUUAGGUUAUGUCAUGGUUGUUCACAAGCCAAUUGAAAGGGAUCCAAAAUAUAUGCCUCUAGUAACCCCAUGGCUUUUCACUAUGAGAUGUCUCCACAGCCAGAGGUCAGUAGAUGGCUAACCAACUAGCUAAGGAGGGGCAGUGUCAUGAGAUGUCUCACUCUUGGCGGUCCCCUAACCCGGUAGGUAGGCUCCAAGUUCCGAUUUUUAUUUCUGCCUGUUGACAAAAAUACUCAGCUGCCUGGAACUCAUCUGUGAAGGAUCUUGCAGGAACUUGGCAGUCACAUUAGAGCAAAGGAACGCAUCCAGAGUGAUUAGAAUGGAAAGUUAUGGCCAUAAUUGUCUAAUACACUAAUUCACGGCAGGGAUUUGAGAUCCCCGGGGGACUGAGUCACCAUUUAGCAUAUUAGGAUGGAAAAACACAAAGCUCGCCCGCCCAAAGGGAUUUGGAUCUUGUUGACACGAUGCCCUGUGAAGACUGAGAGCACGCCUUCCAGUGUGCAGAUGAAGGAGAAGUGAGGCUACCAAACCAGCACUGGGGAUGGACAUAUCUGAAGAAUAGGAAGAAAAAGCUCCUAUACUUGGGCCUCUAUAAGUGACUGAUGGUUGCUUUCAUGUUGCUGUGAUAAACACCAGCUUAGGGGACAUCAGCUUCCAAUUCCAAGCAAUUGUCCAUCACCAAGGGACACUGAACCUGGAGCAGAAACCAUGGCCUUUGCCAUCAGAUGAUCAUCUGUCAGCUCAGACUAUUGGGCACAGAGGCUGGAUCAUGAGGCCAGAAAAGAUGGGAAAGGAUCCACUGUUAACCACCCAUCGUCCUUGCCCUUAACAGAAAUCCUGGGAGAAGAGGGUAAAAAUAAAGGGUGGAUCUCACAAUCCUGAGAAAACAAAUAA